UUUGCCUACGGGGGGCAGCAGUGAGGAAUAUUGGUCAAUGGGAGAGAUCCUGAACCAGCCAAGCCGCGUGAGGGAAGACGGCCCUAUGGGUUGUAAACCUCUUUUGUCGGAGAACAAAACCCGGGACGAGUCCCGGACUGCGUGUAUCCGAAGAAAAAGCAUCGGCUAACUCCGUGCCAGCAGCCGAGGUAAUACGGAGGAUGCGGGCGUUACCCGGAUUUAUUGGGUUUAAAGGGUGCGUAGGCGGUCCGUUAAGUCAGCGGUAAAAUUGAGGGGCUCAACCCCGUCGAGCCGUUGAAACUGGG
RNAcentral lists this ribosomal RNA (305 nucleotides) under uncultured bacterium. RNAcentral describes it as "bacterial SSU rRNA". It matches the Rfam family "Bacterial small subunit ribosomal RNA", at positions 334 to 637 of the family's 1533-position model. The record is from RNAcentral.